RNAcentral lists this ribosomal RNA (497 nucleotides) under uncultured bacterium. Its description in RNAcentral is "partial 16S ribosomal RNA". It matches the Rfam family "Bacterial small subunit ribosomal RNA", at positions 28 to 507 of the family's 1533-position model. The record is from RNAcentral.
GAUGAACGCUGGCGGCGUGCCUAAUACAUGCAAGUCGAGCGAACAGAUAAGGCGCUUGCUCCUUUGACGUUAGCGGCGGACGGGUGAGUAACACGUGGGUAACCUACCUAUAAGACUGGGAUAACUUCGGGAAACCGGAGCUAAUACCGGAUAACAUUUGGAACCGCAUGGCUCUAAAGUGAAAGAUGGUUUUGCUAUCUCUUAUAGAUGGACCCCGGCCGUUUUAGCUAGUUGGUAAGGUAACGGCUUACCAAGGCAACGAUACGUAGCCGACCGGAGAGGGGGAUCGGCCACACUGGAACUGAGACACGGUCCAGACGCCUACGGGAGGCAGCAGUAGGGAAUCUUCCGCAAUGGGCGAAAGCCUGACGGAGCAACGCCGCGUGAGUGAUGAAGGGUUUCGGCUCGUAAAACUCUGUUAUUAGGGAAGAACAAACGUGUAAGUAACUGUGCACGUCUUGACGGUACCUAAUCAGAAAGCCACGGCUAACUACGUG